GCCGAUGUAGCUCAGCGGUAGAGCAGCGCACUCGUAAUGCGCAGGUCAGGGGUUCGAAUCCCCUCAUCGGCUCCA
Molecule: transfer RNA, 75 nt
Filed under: bacterium HR37
Lineage: Bacteria
Description: tRNA-Thr
Rfam family: tRNA
About the family: Transfer RNA (tRNA) molecules are approximately 80 nucleotides in length.
Source: RNAcentral